RNAcentral lists this ribosomal RNA (379 nucleotides) under Tubulanidae sp. KuramBio2 77/1. RNAcentral describes it as "partial large subunit ribosomal RNA". The record is from RNAcentral. Lineage: Eukaryota; Metazoa; Nemertea; Palaeonemertea; Tubulaniformes; Tubulanidae.
AGCCUAUUGAAUUUAUAGUAGGUGAUUUCUGCCCGGUGAUUUUUUUUUAACGGCCGCGGUAUUCUGACCGUGCAAAGGUAGCAUAAUCAUUUGUUUUUUUAUUGAGGACUGGAAUGAAUGGGUUUACGUAGAGAAUGUUGUCUCGCUGUUUUUUGUUGAAUUUUCUUUUUAGAUGAGGAAGUCUAUAUUUUAAGAAAAGACGAGAAGACCCUAUUGAUCUUUGUAUUUACUUAUUAUAAUUUCGUAUUAUUUUUAUUUUUUUUAAAUUUGGUUGGGGCAACUGAGGAGGUUUUUUAUUCUCCUUUAAGUAUAUUUUGAUCCAGUGUUAUUGAUAGUAAGAAUAAGUUACCAUAGGGAUAACAGCGUAAUUUUUUUGGAG